Molecule: ribosomal RNA, 407 nt
Filed under: uncultured bacterium
Lineage: Bacteria
Description: partial 16S ribosomal RNA
Rfam family: Bacterial small subunit ribosomal RNA
Source: RNAcentral
AUUGAACGCUGGCGGCAGGCCUAACACAUGCAAGUCGAGCGGAGCUGCGGACGGGCGAGUAAUGCCUAGGUAUCUGCCUGGUAGUGGGGGAUAACGUACGGCAACGGGCGCUAAUACAGCAUACUAUCAGAUGAGCCUAGGUCGGAUUCGCUAGUUGGUGGGGUAAAGGCCUACCACGGAGACGAUCCGUAACUGGUAUGAGAGGAUGAUCAGUCACACUGGAACUGAGACACGGUCCAGACUCCAACGGGAUGCAGCAGGGGGGAAUAGUGGACAAUGGGCGAAAGCCUGAUCCAUCCAUGCCGGGUGUGGGAAGAAGGUCUUCGGAUUGUAAAGUACUUUAAGUUGGGAGGGGGUACCAACAGAAUAAGCACCGGCUAACUUCGUGCCAGCAGCCGCGGUAAUAC